Molecule: ribosomal RNA, 253 nt
Filed under: uncultured bacterium
Lineage: Bacteria
Description: partial 16S ribosomal RNA
Rfam family: Bacterial small subunit ribosomal RNA
Source: RNAcentral
UACAGAGGGGGCAAGCGUUGUUCGGAAUUACUGGGCGUAAAGGGCGCGUAGGCGGCGCGGUAAGUCACUUGUGAAAUCUCUGAGCUUAACUCAGAACGGCCAAGUGAUACUGCAGUGCUAGAGUGUGGAAGGGGCAAUCGGAAUUCUUGGUGUAGCGGUGAAAUGCGUAGAUAUCAAGAGGAACACCUGAGGUGAAGACGGGUUGCUGGGCCAACACUGACGCUGAUGCGCGAAAGCCAGGGGAGCAAACGGG